Coffea arabica (coffee) is the source of this 524-nucleotide long non-coding RNA. RefSeq lists it as uncharacterized. NCBI's taxonomy places the organism in Eukaryota, Viridiplantae, Streptophyta, Magnoliopsida, Gentianales, Rubiaceae. The record is from RefSeq and is a predicted model, not a curated record.
GCAGAGCAAACAUUGAUUCGUUUCGCGCACGAUAGAAGAUAGGAUAGAAUAGAAGUGUUUUAGUAGCUAGUAGGAUACAAAGAACUAACCAGAUCCUGAUCUGUCGUAGGAACAGAAGUGUUCUUUAGCUAGCUAAGGAGAACUUCUCGAGAGGAAAGAUUCAUACCGAUCCAUUCCACUGAUAUAUAUAUAUGGCUUCUUUCAUUGGCAGCUUCGUGCCAAAGAACUUGCUAAGGGUGCUCAGCCCCGCCGGUCCUCAGCGAGUUGGAAGAAGUAUAAUCAUAAGGUGUGCCGGCAACAGUACUGCUCGAGAUAAUAAGCCACCAAGGCAAAAGAUCAAGACCAAAGACCCACAGACAAAUGCCGUCCCAACUGCAAAAAACAGGACAAUUCAGACGGAUAAGAGCAGUAAACAGGCAAGCAGCAAGUGAUGAAUCAGCUAUAUGAAGUUGAAAGAGUUGCUUUAUCAAGAUUGUAACUAUAAUAAGUAGAGUUGUUCUGGCUUGUUAUGAAUUAGUACGAAA